RNAcentral lists this ribosomal RNA (253 nucleotides) under uncultured bacterium. RNAcentral's name for it is "partial 16S ribosomal RNA". It matches the Rfam family "Bacterial small subunit ribosomal RNA", at positions 524 to 776 of the family's 1533-position model. The record is from RNAcentral.
UACGAGUGGAGCGAGCGUUGUUCGGAAUCACUGGGCGUAAAGCGUGCGUAGGCGGUUAUACAUGUCAGGAGUGAAAUCCCAGGGCUUAACCCUGGAAUUGCUCUUGAAACGGUAUGACUAGAAUCCCGGAGAGGUUGGCGGAAUUCUCAGUGUAGAGGUGAAAUUCGCAGAUAUUGAGAGGAACACCAGUGGCGUAAGCGGCCAACUGGACGGGUAUUGACGAUCAGGCACGAAAGCGUGGGGAUCAAACAGG